RNA transcript from Myotis daubentonii (Daubenton's bat), 3693 nucleotides. It is a transcript of the gene named elongator acetyltransferase complex subunit 6, with no coding region annotated. NCBI's taxonomy places the organism in Eukaryota, Metazoa, Chordata, Mammalia, Chiroptera, Vespertilionidae. The record is from RefSeq and is a predicted model, not a curated record. The transcript is spliced from 9 exons.
UGCGGUGGGAGCCGGCGGCGUCGUGCGUGCUCCUGGACCGAGGGUGUGGGUGCCGUGUGCUGCGGUCCCUGUUGGUCUCCGCGGCAGUUUUAUUUCCCCGUCCAGGACGCUGCUCCGCGAGCUCGGCAUGUUCCCGGAGCUCAAUGACCUCCUCAGUGCCACCCCGGACCGGGCGGAGCCGGAAUUCGAGGUGCUGGGUCAGGGCCGCCAGGCAUCGCAGAGACAGCCACCCUGAGAGGCCUUUCCGGGGCUCCUGGCCAGAGCUCUGCCUGAAGCAGUGUUCAGGGCCAUUGGACACUGAGGGGAAACUGACUCUACUCUGUGAUGCCGAGACCGAUGGCAGUUUCCUUGUGCACCACUUUCUCUCCUUCUACCUCAAAGCUAAUUGUAAGGUGUGUUUUGUGGCCCUCGUUCAGACCUUCAGUCACUACAACAUUGUGGGGCAGAAGCUGGGUGUCAGCCUGACCGCGGCACGGGAGCGCGGGCAGCUGGUCUUCCUCGAGGGUCUCAGGUCAGCGGUGGACAUCUUCUUCCGGGCCGGGGGCGAGGCACACCCCCUGCAGUUCCUCAGGGAGGCCAAGGCCGCCAGCCUGCAGCCGCUGUAUGAGUUCGUGCGGGAGGCCCUGGAGCCCGUGGAUCAGGGGGCGGCUGCCUGGAAGCGCCCGGUGCUGCUGGUGGACGACCUCAGUGUGCUGCUGAGCCUGGGCGUGGGCGCGGUGGCCGUGCUGGACUUCAUCCACUACUGCAGGGCCUGCGUGUGCUGCCGGCUGCAGGGAAACAUAGUGGCCCUUGUGCACGACAGUGGGGACGCCGAGGACGAGGAGAGCGACGUCCUGCUGAAUGGCCUCAGUCACCAGAGCCACCUGGUCCUGCGGGCCGAGGGCCUGGCCACCGGCUUCUGCAGGGACGUGCACGGGCAGCUGAGGGUCCUGUGGAGGACGCCGUCGCCGCCCGCCCAGCGGGGCCGGAGCCUCACGUUCCAGUACAAGAUCCAGGACAAGAGCGUGUCCUUUUUCGCCAAAGGACUGUCUCCUGCGGUUCUGUGACCCGGGGGGCAGGCGGAGCCCCCGGGCGGUUUCCUCACGGAGGACGAAGCAUCUCCGCCUUCGCAGCCGUGUUCCCAGCUGGACUGCGCCCAGGGAUGAGCGGGCUGUGGCGUGUGCCCUUGUCCCACGUUUAGAAAACACAUCAGGAGCCCGCACCCUGCCUCUGCCGAGAUGGAGCUGGGUGCAGGGGCCCUUACACGUCAGCCCGGCCGUUCACACUGUGCUUUGGAGCCAGGGUGGGUCUGAGCGCUGGCAGGAACCGUACCAACGGUGGGCAUCCUCGGGGACAGAAGGGGCCGUCCUGGCUGCCAUAGAGGGCGCCCCAGGUGCCCCACAUCCUGGCUCCGCGGGCAUCUCAGAGUUUCCACCUUUGUCUUGCAAAGGUCCUUUCCCUAAGCCCAGCGAAGAAGCAGCUUAGGAGGCGUGAGGCCCGAGGAGGCCACACUGGCUGACCCACGCUCCUGGGAAGGGGAGGGCUCCCACCCGUUCAGCUCGGCUCCCACCCGUUCAGCUCGGCUCCCCCUGGUCCCCCUGGUUCUGUGGAGAACGCGGAGGUGCUGUGGGGAACGGGGAACAGGCGGAGAGAACGGGGGACGAGCCAUUACACCAGUUCGAGUCGCAGGAAGCGCACAGGCUGCCGUCGCAGGAGAGCAGUGGUCCCCUCGCCUGGUGUGUGAGUUGCCGGAGCGGAGCUUGGGCGAGAAGGCGUGGUUUGGAAGCAGUGCCAGUGCGAGGCCUUGGAAUGCUCCCGUCUUGUCUCUGAGGACAUCUUAGCUCCUCAGGGUUCAGAAAUGUCUUUUCCUUCUUCACUGCCGGGAAGGGCUGUUCCUUUUUAGCUUAAAAUAACGUCUAAGUGUUCCUUCACUGUUGACUCAUUUAGGAUUCGUUACGGUCUUGUGCUUGUCUCCGUGCUGAUCAUGAAAUGAAAUAGCCCUGCAGUACUGACUGAAGAGAAUGUACUCUGAUUUAUUUACAUGUAAAGUUUCUAAAAUUGAGCCUCUGUACCGUUCACCUAUCUAGGUGUUGAAAGGUUAGUGUAUCUGUGCUCUCAGGAGUCUUUAGUUUUUUAUCUCGAUUUUAGAGAAAAACAUCAGCUGCUUGUUCCACUUAUCUGUGUAUUGGUUGAUUCUUGUUUGUGCCCUGACGAGAUCGAACUCACAACCUUCGUAUAUUGGAACAACGUUCUAACCAACUGAACUACCUGGCCAGGGCCUCAAGAAUCUUUUUUGAAAGGGUAUUGUGCCCGCCCUGGCCGGUUUGGCUCAGUGGAUGAAGAUUUGGCCUGUGGACUGAAGGGUCCUGGUUUGAUUCCAGCCAAGGGCACACGCCCAGGUUGUGGGCUCAAUCCCCCAUGUGGGGCGAGCGGGAGGCAGCCGAUCCAUGAUUCUCUCUCAUCAUUGAUGUUUCUCUCUCUCCCUCCACCUCUCUGAAAUCAAUAAAAAUACGUAAAAAAAAAAAAAAAAAGAUACCUAACAUAACUAGCCAUCUGGGAUGUUCCUUAACAGAGAAUGUUGCUAAUUACCACACAGCUCAGCUAGAAUUCAGUAACAGCUACAAGUCAGACAGUCCUGUAGGUUUGGAAAGAAGGAAGCAUACCCUUCAAGGAGCAGAGGGUCAAUGGGAGAAACGGGGUAAGUCACUUCAUGCUCCUAAAGUGGCUACAAACCCACGUGCCCUCGCAGGUGUGGCUCGGUGGGUAGACAAACCCGGAUCUACCCCUCACCCAGGUGACCAGGGUCCGUCAAAUGUCUCUCAGACUCCUCAGCCAGCACACCCACAGGAAAGUCCAGAGCCUCAAGGAAGCCGAGAGGGGGGCGGGAACAGCGCCAUCCCGCCUGGCGGUCAUGGUGGAGAUGAGCUUUUAUUAGAGCACCGAACACGCGACCUACACAACACAGGUGCUCACUAAAGCGUUUACCCAGAUCCCUGGCUCAGUGGACAGAGCGUGGGCCUGCAGACUGAAGGGUCCUGGGCCCAAUUCCGGUCAAGGGCACGUGCCCUGGUUGUGGGCUCCAUCCCCAGUAGAGGGCAUGCAGGAGGCAGCCGAUCAAUGAUUCUCUCUUCCUCUCUGAAAUUAGGAAUAUCUUUUAAAAAAGAAUGGCUACUGUGUUUUGGAAUCGAGGCAUUUUACAUCUGUCCACCUGGAUCUUAAUUUCUUUCCGAAAGUCGCAGAGGUCAAUGUUGGCUGCAUCCUGAAACCGGACUCCUCAGGUGCGGUUCCCUGAGGUCCAGUAUUUUCCGGCCACAAGCAGCUGCUGCUGCUGCUAGAACCAUGAUGCAGAGCUGAGGAGUCUGGCCGGAAGCAGCCCUGUCCACUUGAUCCGUCGCCAGCUGCUGUCACUAGUGCUUAACUCGUGGUGAUCGUGAUCACUAGUGCAAGUGACUGCAGAGACGGACCCGAAUCGCCAAGAAACACCCUUCUCUGUGUCCCAAUGGCCGAGGUGCCUGGCCCUGGGUUGGAACCCAGAGUCCUGUGUCCAGGCUGUGGCCACCACGUCAGUUAUUAGAGUCACCUCUCUCCCCUCUCCAAGAAAUUUUCCUUAUUUGUGAAAUAGACCCAGCCCGUUUUUCAAGAUUUUCAUGAGGACUGGCCCAGUGUAGAAGCUUAAGUAUGGGAAAUUAUGACUUUUUUUUAAAGAAUAUUUUA